GCUUUAACUUUUCCGGCCAGAAUAAUUCGUCAAGAGUUCGACGAACUUGCAGUGGGUGCAAACUCAGUUGAUUGUGACUUUAAUUGGAUUGUUGCAAAGGUUUCUUGUAGUGAUUCAAGCAACUCUUCCGGGUGAAGCAUUCAGUCGACAUGCUUAGGAUGAUUUCUGAGCAUACUUGAGCAGGCAGAAGGUUUUCACGAAACUUCUUUUCUGAAUUUAAUAUUGCCCAGCUUAUUAUGUUUUUCAUUAUUUUCUAGUGUAGUUCAUUUUGUGGUAGCUUCUGUCUAGCACAUUGUGUCCUACUACUCAGCUAAUUUGAAAAUUAGCUUAUGUAUAGCAUGUGCAUGUUGUCCUAGCACUCGACUAGCUCUGAUAAAAUUGCAACUGCAGCUAGGCUUGUUAAUGCUAGCUGCUCAAAUUAAGUAAGCGAUAUCAUUUGAGCAUGUAUUUCACUCAUAAUGGUUAUCAACCUCAGUGAACUGUCUACUGUCAUUUGUUUUGGAUACAUGGGUAUGGACACUUGUUUCACUGGUGUGUCAAUAUAUUCAAGGUUGGUCGUCUAGCUGAGGCCGCAGAGUUGAUUCAUCUAGCCGAUGUGUCAGUAUGUCUAAUUUCAAUCAUUUGCUGGAUCAUGGGGUCAAAAACAACUGUCAUCUUUUCGUUUGGAUUAUGUGGGUAUUGAGACAUGUUUCACUGAUGUGUAACUAUAUUCAAGGUUGUUGAUUUAGCAAUUGAGGCCGCAAAAAGUUGAUUGAUCUAGCAGAUGUGCUAAUAUAUCAUGAUGUUAAAAGCAACUGCCCAAAGAGAUUCCAGCAGCCAUAUCUCAUACCUUGUGACAGUUAGAGAUCAGUUGACAUGGUCAGGAUUAUGUUUGAGCAAAUUCUUGCCACUGGUAAAGUACGACCACUGAUAUUGAGUUUAAGUUGUCUGAGGGAGAUUUUGAAGCAACAAGAAAAGACACUACUGAAAUUGAGCGUACAAUGUCAAAUUCCAUCGAAGAUUUUGAAGCAGUUGAAGCAACAUGACAAGCUGCCUGUUGGACUGUAAGUUACUUGGUUU
Molecule: long non-coding RNA, 1059 nt
Organism: Rosa rugosa (rugosa rose)
Lineage: Eukaryota; Viridiplantae; Streptophyta; Magnoliopsida; Rosales; Rosaceae
Exons: 3
Source: RefSeq, a predicted model, not a curated record